RNAcentral lists this long non-coding RNA (3222 nucleotides) under Canis lupus familiaris (dog). RNAcentral describes it as "lncRNA (ENSCAFG00030000336.1)". The record is from RNAcentral. Lineage: Eukaryota; Metazoa; Chordata; Mammalia; Carnivora; Canidae.
GCACGUGUCAUCUUUGGCGAAGGGAAACUGAAAACGCAUCUCCCGUGGGACCCCGGUGCCCAGUCGCCACCUCUCGGCCCUGCGGCUGACCCCGGGGGACACGGAGAGGGAAGUCGUGCCCGUGAGCCCGCCCGGUUCCAGGGUGCGCUGGCCUCCGCAAGCCAUGCCGUCGGGAGCUUCGGGAACAAUCCGGGGAAGGCCUCGGCUCCGUGUCUCGGCACACGGCCCCUGGGGAAGGAAAACUCCCUCUGGCAAACCCCACCUUCCUUCCCGUGUGUGGCGUGGCGGCAGCUGAGGGCCCCCAGGGUCAGGCCCAGAGUCUGCUUCGCGGGGACCUGCUGGCUGUCCUCCCGCUCCGCGUCUCCGAGCCCUAGGGGACAGGCCAUUGCUGGACUCCCUGGGCACCGUUGUCUCCCCUCCCCAAGGAUUUGCCAGGAGGCCACCCCCAGGAGGAUCUUAAAGCAGGAUUCCAGGGACACAUUUACGACCGUCAUAAUUCUCUCCGGUUCGGGGCCGUACCUGCGUCCGGGAGCCCUGGGCCGGCCAGACUCGGGCGGCCACAGAGCAGGGAGGAAGAGAGAGAGAGAAGAGAGAGAGAAUGAGGCAGAGACAGCCCUGCCCCUCCUCGGCCACCCUGCAGGCUGUGCCCAGCCGGCACUUCCUCCUCUUUCCCGGGAAACACUCCCGGCUUCCCGCUGCCGGGCGCCUCUCGGAGACGCUGUGGAGACGGCGAGCGGGACUCCUGCGCCCACGGGAUGCUCUCUGGAGUGCCGGGCAGGUGGUCCCUGGCGGGCGGGGGGCAUGGCCUGCCGGCCCACCCCGCUCCCCCUCCACACACACACCGUGCAGUGCCGGGGCUGGGGGAGUCCUUGCACACCUUCCAGCAUCAUGGCACAGAUGGAGAAACUGAGGCACAGAGAGGCUCCACGUUCCCAGGCCUCUUCUCUCCCUCCGCCCCCCACCACCCGGGCCAAACAUCCAGCCCCGUAAGUCCUCCAGGUGAAAACGGGCAUCCCGGCCACCGCCCUGCUGGGAAAUAAGCCUUCUGCGGAAGCACCCGCUGCACAUUUGCUAAAUUCAUGAAAAAGGAACUGCACGGGGUGAGUCGAUGCCCCGGCUCGGUGUGUCCGGAGUGGGGGCUCUCACAGCCGGCCUCCCCCUCUGUCAGACACCGGGGUGGCCGUGCCCUCCCCGGGGAGCAGGAUGCUCCUUUGUUCUGCGAGCUGGGUUUCCCAGGUGAGCGCCACCCCCUUCCCAGCAAAAGAGACAGGGGGUCUGCAUUGUCGCCCCGCACGGUGCCCGGCCCCCUGGAGGGGCUCGGCCGACCUGUGUUCAAUCCUCGGGACGUGACACAGGCUCGUUUUCCUCUUGGAAGAGCACGAAGGAGUUUCUAGAAACCACUGCGCUGGGGUGCCCUGGAGAGCCGCACGGGCGAGGCACCCAGGGGCCAGGGGUGGAGGUGCUGAGACUGAGCCCCGAGCUUUCUGUGCAGCCUCAGAUCCUGACGGAGACCCAACCCCGGAGGGGCAGGGGGCAGGGAGCAGCCGACGGCUGGACCUUUACUUGGUGUCGUCUGACCGCGGGGACUUGGCUGAUGUACGAGAAGCCCCUGCGAGAGAUGAGCCAGGCGUGGACGGGGUGGGUGAGGGUGACCGUGGCCGUGGCCCAGACAGGGGCGGAGCUGGGGGGGACACGGGGAGGAGCCCAGGCUGCAGCGGGGAGGGGAGGGCGGGGGUGAGCGUGAGUUGCUGGCCUGCCGGGUUUCAGAUUUGGGCCCAAGUGGGGGUGGGGGGGAGCAAAGAGAAGAGGACCCCGGAGGCCGGCGAGCCUGAGUCUGCGCAGGGCCAACGUCUGCGCUCUGGACCCUCGGCCUGGGAAGUGAGCGUCCGCCGUGGCAGGCGACAGGCCAAAAGCUCAUACCUGCCGUGCUGUUGUGAUUAUUAAAAAUCAGAUCCCGGGCAGCCCUGGUGGCCCAGCGGUUUAGCGCCGCCUUCAGCCCAGGGCGUGAUCCUGGAGUCCUGGGAUCGAGUCCCACAUCGGGCUCCCCGCAUGGAGCCUGCUUCUCCCUCUGCCUGUGUCUCUGCCUCUCUCUCUCUGUGUGUCUCUCACGAAUAAAAUAAAUAAAAUCUUUAAAUAAAAAGAAAAAUCAGAUCCCACCACCAGGCCCCGUCCGUCUGGCGGAGGCUGCUUCAGCACCCCCGACCCCUCACUCCCCCCCGACGCCUGAGUUCUGGGCUUGGCCCGAGGCCUGACCCGGCCACCUGAUGAUUUGAGGAGCCCACUGGGCUCGGGUGGGGGACACAUGAGGGAUCACGGAUGGGCCACCUUCCCUCCAUCUGCCCGCAUCCCAGCUUUCUGCGCCAACACCGACCCGUCCUGUCCCCGAAUGUCCACCCUGAGUUGCAAGAACAGGGGUUUCUGGGGAACACGCAGUCUCCUGCUUGUUUUCCUUAUUCUGAGCAAAAGCUGAGUGAGCUCAGAAGCGGGCGGGCCGGCUGCGGGCAGGGGGUAGGCACCUUGGGUGUCCACCCGGCCCUCCGACCUCCGCCAGGCUAUGCCUGGCCUGCCCCCGCCAGGCCCCUCUGGACCCUGCCGGACCCCGCUGGACCCCACUGGACCCCACUGGACCCCACUGGACACUGCUGGGCCCCGCAGGACCCUGCAGGACCUCGCUGGACCCCGCCGGACCCCAAUGAACCCCGCAGGACCCCACUGGACCCCGCUGGACCUCGCUGGAUCCCACUGGACCCCGCUGGGCCUGCGUGAGCCCGGGCGGCCAGACUGUUACGAGCUAACCCAAGUUGAGACUAACCUUUCAGCAGAACAGUUUGAGUUAAAAUAAAGGGAUUGAAAAAGAGUACAAUGACCAAAAAAAUCUAUAAAAAUGCAAUUGCGCUAAUAUAAUUUUAUCACUUAUUUAAAAAUUUAGUCGACCCAAAAGACUACCAAGUGUGAAAUUAAGGAACAGCUCCUCUACUUUUAUGGAAAUCACUCUUCCUCACUUGUCUAAUAGCCUGAUUUUGUCAGAUCAUUUAUUUCCAUGGUUUUAAAAUGAGCUUGACAGACAGAAUUUUAUAACACCACUUUACUGCAAAUAAGAACAUCAUUUUCGCUUAUUAAAACUGAAGCUUAGAGAAAGCAUUAAAAUUAACAGUUCACUCUGCUUUAACCUUUUGAAUCCUGCCGCGACGUUACGGGGAAGGCCGCGCGCGAGGGAGGCCG